GUUUGCAGAGCUCCGGGUUCCAGGAGCGCGGCCGAGGAGCUGCUGAUUUGGAUUGAGCGCUCUUUGUUUUCCUCCCAUGGAAUGGAGAAAAUAACUGCUGUUCUCCCCAGUGUUCAGAGCCCUCUUUCAAGAGGAAACCAGAUGAUACUCAGGGUAUUGUUUUAUAUUUCUAAAGAGUAUUUUAACGAUAUUUUUAGUGGAGAUGCACACAAUACCUUUUUCUUCUUUGUUUAUUUUUAUGUGUUGCCUGUGGGGAUGGAACCCAGGCCUCGCGCUCGCUAGGGAAGAGCUCUACCGCGAGCCACAGCCCUGGCCCUGAAGAGUGCAUUUUUAAUGUCACUAAACAUGUGCGAAACUUUAUGUCCUUAAAAAAGAAGGGAUUGAUUAAUGAGACUCUGACACCUGCUGAGACCUCGGUGAGCCUUGAGAAGGUUAUGCUAAGCGGAAUGAGCCAGGCAGAAAAGGACAGAGGGUGCCUGAUUCCCUUAGUAGGGUGCCCGGCCUAAAGUGUACGACAGAGGCUGGGUGUAGCUCGGGACAGAGCCUUGCCUGACCCGUGGGGGCCCUGGGUUAUCCCCAGCACCCAGUGUCCGCAGGGUCUGGAGGGAGAGGAGAAAGGGGAGUCAUUGUCAAUGGGUACAGAGUUCCAGUCUAGGAAGUUGAAAAGUCACAGAGAUGGAUGGUGGGGAUGGUUGCACACCAUGGGAAUGGACUUCAGGUCGUGCACCUGUACAUUUACAGGUAAAUUUUUGUGCAUAUUUAACUACGAUUACAUUUUUUAAAAAAUUACAUGUGUUUCCAUAUUUUCAUUUUUUUUUCCUCAGAAAAGGUCCCUUAGAAGGAAGGCAGGCAAAGUGCAGCAUGCAUGUGAUCCUGGCGCUGUAAUCCCAGGUUUGAGGCCAGCCUUGGCAACUUAGUGAGACCCUGUCCCAAAAAAUGAAAAGAAAGUGGGGCUGGGGAUGUGGCUCAAGCGGUAGCGGGCUUGCCUGGCAUGCGUGGGGCGCUGGGUUCGAGCCUCAGCACCACAUAGAAAUAAAAAAAAAAUAAAGAUGUUGUUCCAACGAGAACUAGAACAUAAAUAUUAAAAAAAAAAAAAAAAGUUGCUCAGUGGUAAAGUGCCCCUGGAUUCAAUCCCUGGUGCCAAAAAAAAAAAAAAAAUGUCCCCUAGGACUGGCUCAGUGGUAGAGCCCUUGCCUAGCACAUACUCUAGCCCUGGGGUUUGAUCCCCACCAUGGAAAGUUUAAAACAAAAAGCCCAGGGGCUGGGGUUGUGGCUCAGCCUUAGAGCACUCACCUAGCACAUGUGAGGCCCUGGGUUCAAUCCUCAGCACCACAGAAAAAUAAAUAAAUAACAUAAAGGUGUUAUGUCCAACUACAAAUUAAAAAUUUAAAAAAAGCCCAAAGUUUAUUUUGGUUUUUCAUGGCUUUCCAGAGACUCUACAUCUCUGCCCAUUAAGGCCUAAUGUAUUCUAGGUGCUCACAAUUCCCUAGGCUACGGCAGAGACUGAGUGUAGAGAAACACUCCUGAAGGACAGAAAAAGGGGAUCCCUAGAGCUAUGGGGGCACAGAGUGCUCAUAUUCAUCUCAGAAAUACAGGAGGACAAGGCCCUGGAAUGGCUAUGGGAGGCUGGUGAUGGGAAGGUGCCCCAGUUGAGACCCCCGUUGAGACCCCGUCUUUUUAAGUCUUGUGCACUUGUUAUUGUUGACUGAUUCCCUGCUCCCUUCUCUCUGGUGAUUAAAGGUCAAACUCUCCUGAGAGGCUGGGGACUUAUUUUGAAAGUCAUCAGCAAGGAAGGGGAUAGCUAGGAAAACUGCACCCUGCUUCCCAGCCAGCCCUUGGGAAGAGGCAUCCAUCCCAGAGGACACACCAGUGACAGUGUUGAGGAGGAAAGGGGAAAAGUCCAAGUCCCUGAGGCCUGACUGGAAAGAGAGAGCAGGAGCUGGCCUGGCCCUGGAGCUUGGUGGACCUGUGUGUGGACAAGGAAUCUCCAGAAAAUAGAUGAAACAGAAAACCUGCAACACGAAGUGAGUUAGAAUUCCAGAUAAACGAGAAAUGACAUUCUAGCGAAAGUAUUUUAUCAGGUGAUCCUACUUCAAAAGCCGGGUCUCUGAGGGAACCACUGCUUUCUUCUUUCACUCCUUAUCACCUGGAGUGAGCUGUCUGCUCUCCCUCCUGUUGCAACAGCUGCUGUCUGGCCUUCUGGCCUCUGGUCUCUCCCUCCUGGAGCUUGUUGGCACUCUAAAGUGUCCGUCAAUGCCAUGAUACCUUGCUGCGGCUGAAAGGAGUUUUAGAAACCAUCUCUUGUUGGUUCCUUGGAUGCUUGUGAAGGUAGACUUCAAAGGUGGGUUGCCAGAUUUAGAAAACAGAUCAAACAAAAUACCUGGGGAACCAAUGAAUUUCAGUUGCUGAUAAACAGUAAGUAACUUUUUAGUGAAGUAUUUUAUCGGGUAAUCCUACUUCCAAAACUGGGUCUCUGGGGAAAACGGCUGGGCCUUCUUCUUGUGCUCUCCUUUUUUACUCCUUAUCACCGUGGAUUAAACAUUCUCUCUCAUGAACCUGCUGCGAUAGUUCCUGCCUGAUCUUCUGGCCUCUACUUUCUCCCCUCCUGGUCCAUUUGGACUCUAAAAUACAGCCAGAUGACACAAGACAUAAUACUAUGCUCAGGGCAAAUUAAUGCCAAAAAAGAUUUUAUACUCCAUCCCUUGUUGGUUCCUUGGAUGUUUGUGUGGGAGACAGGGCAAGGCUUUCAUAGACGACCUGAGGUCUGACAGUAGGCUGGAGGCCCGAGCUAGUUCAGUUGUUCAUUCUCCAAGCACUUAUCAAAGUCCAGGCAUCAUGGCUCCCUGAGGGAUGCAGCACAAAAGCCCUCUUCUCCCUGCUGGUUCUUGUGUGAUAGAAGCAAAGGUGACUCCAUUUUGUUUUAUGACUCCAUCCUGUAAAACAACCAGGCCAAGUAGAAGGGUCUUGACUGGGGCAAGAUAUUCUUUUCCUUUUGCUACAGAAACC
RNAcentral lists this long non-coding RNA (3006 nucleotides) under Marmota monax (woodchuck). The record is from RNAcentral. Lineage: Eukaryota; Metazoa; Chordata; Mammalia; Rodentia; Sciuridae.